Molecule: long non-coding RNA, 582 nt
Organism: Prosopis cineraria
Lineage: Eukaryota; Viridiplantae; Streptophyta; Magnoliopsida; Fabales; Fabaceae
Exons: 3
Source: RefSeq, a predicted model, not a curated record
AUAUUCUCUCUGUUUUGUUCAAUUAUUACGAAUAAAUUUCUGUUCUGAUAGGUUCUUUCUGAGGCGAUCUGAAGAAGAUUCCAUUAACUUUCCUGGAGGUAGCCAUACUUUUAUUUCACUAUAGACCUUCAUUCAUGAUCAGUAUAUAGAAGCAGCAAGAGCCUCACAAAUAAAUCUCUUUCUUGUCUGAUCUCUAUCAUAAACUAGAUUCGUGAUCGUGUCUCUUUCACCAACCAAGCAAUUCUCUGAAAGACGACUUAACGUUCCAACAGUCCAAUAUCUUUCAAGCGGAGACGGAGGGAAGAUUCCAUGGAUCUGGUGAACGAGCCUAUGAGCCACGAGGGGUUAAACAAGCAUGUCUUACACAAGCAAGGCAACAAAACAGCAGCACUAACAAGAAAGAAACUCAAAUGAACACAGCACACAGUCAAGGUAGAGGAGGGAAGAAGUGGCUUGAAAACUCAAGAGCUCGGCACCUUGUCCUGUCUGCACCCACGCUUAUAUAUAGGUCAAAACCAUAGAUAUGAACGUUGGGAUCAUAAUCACUGGAUUAAACACCAUUAAGCCUUGGUUAUAGAAACA